GAAAUGCGAUAAGUAAUGUGAAUUGCAGAAUUCCGUGAAUCAUCGAAUCUUUGAACGCACAUUGCGCCCUCUGGUAUUCCGGGGGGCAUGCCUGUCCGAGCGUCAUUGCGAACCCCUCAAGCACGGCUUGUGUGAUGGGCCCUCCCGCGUCUUGGUCGUCAAGACUGGCCCGAAAUGCAGUGGCGGCUUCGCGGUUAUCCGAUCAGCCAGAGCGUAUGGGGACUUUCUCUCUGUCACACGCCCGCGGCGCGGACCGACGCCUGUCGACCUUUAUUCAUCUUUUUCUCGGUUGACCUCGGAUCAGGUAGGGAUACCCGCUGAACUUAAGC
RNAcentral lists this unclassified non-coding RNA (329 nucleotides) under plant metagenome. RNAcentral describes it as "partial contains 5.8S ribosomal RNA, internal transcribed spacer 2, and large subunit ribosomal RNA". The stretch from base 1 to 105 matches the Rfam family "5.8S ribosomal RNA", at positions 50 to 154 of the family's 154-position model. The record is from RNAcentral.